Molecule: ribosomal RNA, 512 nt
Filed under: uncultured bacterium
Lineage: Bacteria
Description: bacterial SSU rRNA
Rfam family: Bacterial small subunit ribosomal RNA
Source: RNAcentral
GAUUCUGGCUCAGGAUGAACGCUAGCUACAGGCUUAACACAUGCAAGUCGAGGGGCAGCAUGAUCGAAGCUUGCUUGAUGAUGGCGACCGGCGCACGGGUGAGUAACGCGUAUCCAACCUUCCCUAUAGUAGAGAAUAGCCCGGCGAAAGUCGGAUUAAUGCUCUAUGUUGUAUUUAGAGGACAUCUGAAGAAUACCAAAGGUUUACCGCUAUAGGAUGGGGAUGCGUCUGAUUAGGUAGUAGGCGGGGUAACGGCCCACCUAGCCGACGAUCAGUAGGGGUUCUGAGAGGAAGGUCCCCCACAUUGGAACUGAGACACGGUCCAAACUCCUACGGGAGGCAGCAGUGAGGAAUAUUGGUCAAUGGACGGAAGUCUGAACCAGCCAAGUAGCGUGCAGGAUGACGGCCCUAUGGGUUGUAAACUGCUUUUAUAUAGGGAUAAAGUCGGGGAUGUGUCCCCGUUUGUAGGUACUAUAUGAAUAAGGACCGGCUAAUUCCGUGCCAGCAGCCGC